UUAAAGUGCAUGAUCGCGUGUCAGAUGACUUAAGUGCAUUUUAGUUAGGUUCAUUUGGGCGGUUCUGCCACACGGCACCUCCUCCACUCCGCCGUCCCUCUUCCACCGUCGUUGCCAACCUUCACCACGUCACGGCCGUCGCCCACCCUGACACCGACACCACCCCCUUCUAGGCCCCCAGCGCCUCCCGCGACCUUCGUCGCCCGUCCCCCACCACGCCGACCGCAGGCCUCGUCUAUGCUGACGUAAGCCCGUGGUCGGAUGACAUUAGCUUUUUCUUUUUUAUUUCUGGAAUAUGUUAAAAUUGCUAGAAAUUAUAGAAAAAAUUUUAAAAUAGCUAGCACUAAUAGGAAAAAUGUUAGAAUAGUAGAAAUUUG
Molecule: long non-coding RNA, 377 nt
Filed under: Setaria viridis
Lineage: Eukaryota; Viridiplantae; Streptophyta; Magnoliopsida; Poales; Poaceae
Description: long non-coding RNA (SVIR_LNC005757)
Source: RNAcentral